Non-coding RNA from Danio rerio (zebrafish), 71 nucleotides. Lineage: Eukaryota; Metazoa; Chordata; Actinopteri; Cypriniformes; Danionidae. The record is from Rfam.
GCAUUGGUGGUUUAGUGGUAGAAUUCUCGCCUGCCUCGCAGGACACCCAGGUGCGAUUCCCGGCCAAUGCA